ACACAUGCAAGUCGAGGGGCAUCAUGUAGGUGGCUUGCCACCUAUGAUGGCGACCGGCGCACGGGUGAGUAACGCGUAUCCAACCUGCCCCUUUCCCCGGCACAGCCCGUAGAAAUGCGGAUUAAUGCCGGAUGCUGUCGCGCGACGGCAUCAGAGCGCGACGAAAGGUUUUUUCCGGAAAGGGAUGGGGAUGCGUCCGAUUAGCUUGACGGCGGGGUGAAGGCCCACCGUGGCGACGAUCGGUAGGGGCCCUGAGAGGGGAGCCCCCCACAUUGGGACUGAGACACGGCCCAAACUCCUACGGGAGGCAGCAGUGAGGAAUAUUGGUCAAUGGGCGGAAGCCUGAACCAGCCAAGUAGCGUGAGGGACGACGGCCCUACGGGUUGUAAACCUCUUUUGCGCGGGGACAAAGUUCGCCAUGCGUGGCGUUUUGCGGGUACCGCGCGAAUAAGGACCGGCUAAUUCCGUGCCAGCAGCCGCGGUAAUACGGAAGGUCCUGGCGUUAUCCGGAUUCAUUGGGUUUAAAGGGAGCGCAGGCCGCCUGUUAAGCGUGCCGUGAAAUGUGCCGGCUCAACCGGGGCACUGCGGCGCGAACUGGCGGGCUUGAGUGCGCGGAAGGCGGGCGGAAUUCGUGGUGUAGCGGUGAAAUGCUUAGAUAUCAC
RNAcentral lists this ribosomal RNA (662 nucleotides) under uncultured bacterium. Its description in RNAcentral is "bacterial SSU rRNA". It matches the Rfam family "Bacterial small subunit ribosomal RNA", at positions 51 to 700 of the family's 1533-position model. The record is from RNAcentral.